RNAcentral lists this ribosomal RNA (356 nucleotides) under Bacillus safensis. Its description in RNAcentral is "bacterial SSU rRNA". It matches the Rfam family "Bacterial small subunit ribosomal RNA", at positions 161 to 503 of the family's 1533-position model. Lineage: Bacteria; Bacillati; Bacillota; Bacilli; Caryophanales; Bacillaceae. The record is from RNAcentral.
AGCUAAUACCGGAUAGUUCCUUGAACCGCAUGGUUCAAGGAUGAAAGACGGUUUCGGCUGUCACUUACAGAUGGACCCGCGGCGCAUUAGCUAGUUGGUGGGGUAAUGGCUCACCAAGGCGACGAUGCGUAGCCGACCUGAGAGGGUGAUCGGCCACACUGGGACUGAGACACGGCCCAGACUCCUACGGGAGGCAGCAGUAGGGAAUCUUCCGCAAUGGACGAAAGUCUGACGGAGCAACGCCGCGUGAGUGAUGAAGGUUUUCGGAUCGUAAAGCUCUGUUGUUAGGGAAGAACAAGUGCGAGAGUAACUGCUCGCACCUUGACGGUACCUAACCAGAAAGCCACGGCUAACUA